RNAcentral lists this unclassified non-coding RNA (392 nucleotides) under Proteus mirabilis. Its description in RNAcentral is "partial 16S-23S ribosomal RNA intergenic spacer". The stretch from base 85 to 157 matches the Rfam family "tRNA". The record is from RNAcentral. Lineage: Bacteria; Pseudomonadati; Pseudomonadota; Gammaproteobacteria; Enterobacterales; Morganellaceae.
CCUAAGAGAUACGUGUUAUGUGAAGUGCUCACACAGAUUGUCUGAUGAAGAACGAGCAAAAGCGCGUCUGCGAAGCUGACAGAAGUCCCCUUCGUCUAGAGGCCUAGGACACCGCCCUUUCACGGCGGUAACAGGGGUUCGAAUCCCCUAGGGGACGCCAAUGCGCGGUAUGAGUGAAAGGCGUACCACUUAUCUGACGAGAGUCAGAGAAUAACUAAGCUAAUUCAAAUGAGUUAUCUUACUUAUUAUGCUCUUUAGCAAUCUGGAACAAGCUGAAAAAUUGAAAACAAAUCAAUAUAUCACCGAGGUAUAUUGAUGAGUCUCUCAAAAUCUCAAACCUUAAAGUUUGUCACGCAAAGUUUAUCUUUGAAAGAGACACUUUCGGGUUGUGA